This 479-nucleotide long non-coding RNA is filed under the name Homo sapiens (human). RNAcentral's name for it is "DYNLRB2 antisense RNA 1". The record is from RNAcentral. Lineage: Eukaryota; Metazoa; Chordata; Mammalia; Primates; Hominidae.
GGGAGCAGGCGCUCACCUGAGCUGACUCAGAAAUUGGAAUGAGUUGUCUGUGGAUCCUGUAAGGAGCCUGGACAUGGUGAAGAGAAUGCCUUGACCAUCAGGAGACAGCUUAGCUUGUUGAAUCUUGAUCACUUCUUCUGACCGCUUUGGAUCUUAAAAGAACAAGGUGAGACACACCUCAAAUGACAGAAUCCCACAUCAAGCUUUCUCUCCUGGGGAGUUAACCCCCCUGGGGCUAACCCUUCACAAAGGCGGGAUGGAAGCCAGUGGAAAAGUACCCAGCUUUUCCUCCUUUACCUACUGUUCAGAGAUCCCAGAAGAAUCAAACCCUGGUGUCUGCAGCAGUGAGCCUGUGUGUUUCCUUAUCUCGGCUUUUCCUCCUUCUCUGGAUCAUCUCCCAAACAAGCAAAUCAUGCAUCUAAGUCCUUGUACUUAGGCUCUGCUUCUGGGGAGACGCAAAAUAAAACAGUUAAAAAAAA